GGCAAUUUACAGUUGACAAGCUUUUGCAUACUAAAAUUCCAUUUUAACUAGGUGGAAGAUUACCUAUGGUGUAUCCACACACUUGAGUUUCUUAAUCUUGACAGAAGUCCAAGUGGACCUAGCCAGUGCUGUUACCUAAUACAUGGGAUUGACCAUGUAUUUCUCAAUAUUAACUCUCCAAUUUUCUUCAACUAAUGCAAUGAAGCAUCAACAUAAAAAGCCAUAACAUCUUAGGGCUUAUGAGGAUGAAGAUGAACUGGAAGUCCUUCAACUGGGGUGGGCAUAAGAUGCAUUCUACUUUCUUAUCAGGAAUCAGUAAAUCCCAUCGAAAUUUCUUAACUAUGUUUUGCAGAAAUGUAAGAAUAUCGAGUCUAGCAAACUCUUUACCCUAGCACAUCGGAGAUCCCCCUCCAACUGGAACAUAAGAAAAUGGGGUAGGUCCUGCCCUUUCAUAGCUCGAUGGAUCAAAUUUUAUAUUCUCUUCAAACAAGCUAGAAAGUGUAUUUGUGAAUAAGGCCUUCCUGUAUAACUGCUGCAACAGCAUCAUUAGGUCAUGAAUCAUUAGUUCAAAAGUGAAUCAAAAAGGGCCCCUUUGACAAUGCUUCUGAUUUUAUUUCUAGUAGAAGAGCUUCGUUAGAAAUCUACCCUAAACUAGCUUCCUCUAAAAGCUCAUCUAGGCAAACAAAGCACUUCCAAGAAAUUAUCCUAAUAUGUUCAAAAGCAUUUUCGUAGUCUGAAAAAUAGCUUUUGACUUUUCAAAAGCACCGCCAAACCGGUCCUAAAUUACUGUUACAGAAAUUCUUGAAAUUCUUUUUUACUUGUGAAUAAAGGGGGGAAGAAAAUUCCAGAAGUCUUGGAAAAUCUCAUAAAAGAAGUAAGAAUAAAUAAGAGAAAAAUUUAAGUACCUUCCAUCCCGUGGGAAUGUCAUAAACUGCUUACUUAAAAUCGACUAGUGCGUCUCUAAAAGCACCUAUUGUGGGUGGUGAUAGUCUAAUAGUUUCAGACAAUACAUUCUACUAGUACCUCAUCUUCUGUACAUCAUCCCACUGUGAAAACUCCCCUGCUUUGUAGGAUGAUUAGAAACAUAAAUCAUUAGGAGUAGUUAUGGCAACAAGGUGAAACGAAGGGUAUGUACAUUUACCUCUAAAAACAUUUUCACCAGUUCAAGGAAGUUGUCCAUGAUUCUUCAUCAGCAUAGUUAUGGCAACACUAGAAGUGUCGUGACCAGCCAGCUGAUUCAGACAUAAACUUGCCAUUUUCAUCAGGAUGUUGUGAAGCUGAAACAAUUUCC
Molecule: long non-coding RNA, 1291 nt
Filed under: Olea europaea subsp. europaea
Lineage: Eukaryota; Viridiplantae; Streptophyta; Magnoliopsida; Lamiales; Oleaceae
Source: RNAcentral